AGUGAACGUUGGCGGCGUGGAUUAGGCAUGCAAGUCGAGCGAGAACCGUAGCAAUACGGGGACAGCGGCGAAAGGGACAGUAAUGUGUAGGUACCUACCCCGAGGUCUGGGAUAGCUGCGGGAAACUGCAGGUAAUACCGGAUAAUGUCUUCGGACCAAAGGUGUGAUUCCACCUUGGGAGGGGCCUGCAUCCUAUUAGCUAGUUGGCGGGGUAAUGGCCCACCAAGGCAACGAUGGGUAGCGGGUGUGAGAGCACGACCCGCGUCAUUGGGACUGGGAUACUGCCCAGACACCUACGGGUGGCUGCAGUCGAGGAUCUUCGGCAAUGGGCGAAAGCCUGACCGAGCGACGCCGCGUGCGGGAUGAAGGCCUUCGGGUUGUAAACCGCUGUCGUAGAGGAGGAAAUGCAGGGGGGUUCUCCCUUCUGUUUGACCUAUUCUAGGAGGAAGGACGGGCUAAGUUCGUGCCAGCAGCCGCCGCGG
RNAcentral lists this ribosomal RNA (482 nucleotides) under uncultured bacterium. RNAcentral describes it as "partial 16S ribosomal RNA". It matches the Rfam family "Bacterial small subunit ribosomal RNA", at positions 28 to 523 of the family's 1533-position model. The record is from RNAcentral.